UUAAGCGACUAAGCGUACACGGUGGAUGCCCUGGCAGUCAGAGGCGAUGAAGGACGUGCUAAUCUGCGAUAAGCGUCGGUAAGGUGAUAUGAACCGUUAUAACCGGCGAUUUCCGAAUGGGGAAACCCAGUGUGUUUCGACACACUAUCAUUAACUGAAUCCAUAGGUUAAUGAGGCGAACCGGGGGAACUGAAACAUCUAAGUACCCCGAGGAAAAGAAAUCAACCGAGAUUCCCCCAGUAGCGGCGAGCGAACGGGGAGGAGCCCAGAGCCUGAAUCAGUGUGUGUGUUAGUGGAAGCGUCUGGAAAGGCGCGCGAUACAGGGUGACAGCCCCGUACACAAAAAUGCACAUGCUGUGAGCUCGAUGAGUAGGGCGGGACACGUGGUAUCCUGUCUGAAUAUGGGGGGACCAUCCUCCAAGGCUAAAUACUCCUGACUGACCGAUAGUGAACCAGUACCGUGAGGGAAAGGCGAAAAGAACCCCGGCGAGGGGAGUGAAAAAGAACCUGAAACCGUGUACGUACAAGCAGUGGGAGCACGCUUAGGCGUGUGACUGCGUACCUUUUGUAUAAUGGGUCAGCGACUUAUAUUCUGUAGCAAGGUUAACCGAAUAGGGGAGCCGAAGGGAAACCGAGUCUUAACUGGGCGUUAAGUUGCAGGGUAUAGACCCGAAACCCGGUGAUCUAGCCAUGGGCAGGUUGAAGGUUGGGUAACACUAACUGGAGGACCGAACCGACUAAUGUUGAAAAAUUAGCGGAUGACUUGUGGCUGGGGGUGAAAGGCCAAUCAAACCGGGAGAUAGCUGGUUCUCCCCGAAAGCUAUUUAGGUAGCGCCUCGUGAAUUCAUCUCCGGGGGUAGAGCACUGUUUCGGCAAGGGGGUCAUCCCGACUUACCAACCCGAUGCAAACUGCGAAUACCGGAGAAUGUUAUCACGGGAGACACACGGCGGGUGCUAACGUCCGUCGUGAAGAGGGAAACAACCCAGACCGCCAGCUAAGGUCCCAAAGUCAUGGUUAAGUGGGAAACGAUGUGGGAAGGCCCAGACAGCCAGGAUGUUGGCUUAGAAGCAGCCAUCAUUUAAAGAAAGCGUAAUAGCUCACUGGUCGAGUCGGCCUGCGCGGAAGAUGUAACGGGGCUAAACCAUGCACCGAAGCUGCGGCAGCGACACUAUGUGUUGUUGGGUAGGGGAGCGUUCUGUAAGCCUGCGAAGGUGUGCUGUGAGGCAUGCUGGAGGUAUCAGAAGUGCGAAUGCUGACAUAAGUAACGAUAAAGCGGGUGAAAAGCCCGCUCGCCGGAAGACCAAGGGUUCCUGUCCAACGUUAAUCGGGGCAGGGUGAGUCGACCCCUAAGGCGAGGCCGAAAGGCGUAGUCGAUGGGAAACAGGUUAAUAUUCCUGUACUUGGUGUUACUGCGAAGGGGGGACGGAGAAGGCUAUGUUGGCCGGGCGACGGUUGUCCCGGUUUAAGCGUGUAGGCUGGUUUUCCAGGCAAAUCCGGAAAAUCAAGGCUGAGGCGUGAUGACGAGGCACUACGGUGCUGAAGCAACAAAUGCCCUGCUUCCAGGAAAAGCCUCUAAGCAUCAGGUAACAUCAAAUCGUACCCCAAACCGACACAGGUGGUCAGGUAGAGAAUACCAAGGCGCUUGAGAGAACUCGGGUGAAGGAACUAGGCAAAAUGGUGCCGUAACUUCGGGAGAAGGCACGCUGAUAUGUAGGUGAAGUCCCUCGCGGAUGGAGCUGAAAUCAGUCGAAGAUACCAGCUGGCUGCAACUGUUUAUUAAAAACACAGCACUGUGCAAACACGAAAGUGGACGUAUACGGUGUGACGCCUGCCCGGUGCCGGAAGGUUAAUUGAUGGGGUCAGCGCAAGCGAAGCUCUUGAUCGAAGCCCCGGUAAACGGCGGCCGUAACUAUAACGGUCCUAAGGUAGCGAAAUUCCUUGUCGGGUAAGUUCCGACCUGCACGAAUGGCGUAAUGAUGGCCAGGCUGUCUCCACCCGAGACUCAGUGAAAUUGAACUCGCUGUGAAGAUGCAGUGUACCCGCGGCAAGACGGAAAGACCCCGUGAACCUUUACUAUAGCUUGACACUGAACAUUGAGCCUUGAUGUGUAGGAUAGGUGGGAGGCUUUGAAGUGUGGACGCCAGUCUGCAUGGAGCCGACCUUGAAAUACCACCCUUUAAUGUUUGAUGUUCUAACGUUGACCCGUGAUCCGGGUUGCGGACAGUGUCUGGUGGGUAGUUUGACUGGGGCGGUCUCCUCCUAAAGAGUAACGGAGGAGCACGAAGGUUGGCUAAUCCUGGUCGGACAUCAGGAGGUUAGUGCAAUGGCAUAAGCCAGCUUGACUGCGAGCGUGACGGCGCGAGCAGGUGCGAAAGCAGGUCAUAGUGAUCCGGUGGUUCUGAAUGGAAGGGCCAUCGCUCAACGGAUAAAAGGUACUCCGGGGAUAACAGGCUGAUACCGCCCAAGAGUUCAUAUCGACGGCGGUGUUUGGCACCUCGAUGUCGGCUCAUCACAUCCUGGGGCUGAAGUAGGUCCCAAGGGUAUGGCUGUUCGCCAUUUAAAGUGGUACGCGAGCUGGGUUUAGAACGUCGUGAGACAGUUCGGUCCCUAUCUGCCGUGGGCGCUGGAGAACUGAGGGGGGCUGCUCCUAGUACGAGAGGACCGGAGUGGACGCAUCACUGGUGUUCGGGUUGUCAUGCCAAUGGCACUGCCCGGUAGCUAAAUGCGGAAGAGAUAAGUGCUGAAAGCAUCUAAGCACGAAACUUGCCCCGAGAUGAGUUCUCCCUGACUCCUUGAGAGUCCUGAAGGAACGUUGAAGACGACGACGUUGAUAGGCCGGGUGUGUAAGCGCAGCGAUGCGUUGAGCUAACCGGUACUAAUGAACCGUGAGGCUUAACCU
RNAcentral lists this ribosomal RNA (2900 nucleotides) under Escherichia coli. Its description in RNAcentral is "23S ribosomal RNA". It matches the Rfam family "Bacterial large subunit ribosomal RNA". Lineage: Bacteria; Pseudomonadati; Pseudomonadota; Gammaproteobacteria; Enterobacterales; Enterobacteriaceae. The record is from RNAcentral.